AGGCGAAAAGGGCAAACCUGCCGAAAGGCGGGGACGCAAAGCUUGGGAGUCUAAAUCAUGCUCGGCGGAAUCCGCCGCGGGUGAUAUGACAGUCCGGCCGCAUGG
Molecule: non-coding RNA, 105 nt
Filed under: Papillibacter cinnamivorans
Lineage: Bacteria; Bacillati; Bacillota; Clostridia; Eubacteriales; Oscillospiraceae
Also listed under: 1 other name
Description: c-di-GMP sequence
Rfam family: c-di-GMP-I riboswitch aptamer
About the family: GEMM was predicted in a large-scale screen for bacterial structured RNA regulatory elements. Genes associated with GEMM are involved in a diverse array of functions, including chemotaxis regulation, signal transduction, secretion and chitin.
Source: RNAcentral